CCAGCAGCUGCGGUAAUUCCAGCUCCAAUAGCGUAUAUUAAAGUUGUUGCAGUUAAAAAGCUCGUAGUUGGAUUUCUGGUAGGAUGACUGUGCCCUCAGUAGAGCGUGCGCAGGCGUCUUGCCAUCCUUCUGUUAACCUUUGAGAGCUUCAUCGCUCUCUUUGGGGCUCAGAUAUUUUACCUUGAGAAAAUUAGAGUGUUUCAGGCAGGCUAGCGCCGGAAUACAUUAGCAUGGAAUAAUAGAAUAGGACUUUUGCCUCUUCUGUUGGUCAUGGGGUUCGAGUAAUGAUUAAUAGGGAUAGUUGGGGGCAUUAGUACUUCACUGUCAGAGGUGAAAUUCUCGGAUUUGUGAAAGACUAACUUAUGCGAAAGCAUUUGCCAAGGAUGUUUUCAUUAAUCAAGAACGAAAGU
Molecule: ribosomal RNA, 410 nt
Filed under: uncultured eukaryote
Lineage: Eukaryota
Description: SSU rRNA
Rfam family: Eukaryotic small subunit ribosomal RNA
Source: RNAcentral